Molecule: ribosomal RNA, 429 nt
Filed under: Staphylococcus aureus
Lineage: Bacteria; Bacillati; Bacillota; Bacilli; Caryophanales; Staphylococcaceae
Description: partial 23S ribosomal RNA
Rfam family: Bacterial large subunit ribosomal RNA
Source: RNAcentral
AGAAGCAGCCAUCAUUUAAAGAGUGCGUAAUAGCUCACUAGUCGAGUGACACUGCGCCGAAAAUGUACCGGGGCUAAACAUAUUACCGAAGCUGUGGAUUGUCCUUUGGACAAUGGUAGGAGAGCGUUCUAAGGGCGUUGAAGCAUGAUCGUAAGGACAUGUGGAGCGCUUAGAAGUGAGAAUGCCGGUGUGAGUAGCGAAAGACGGGUGAGAAUCCCGUCCACCGAUUGACUAAGGUUUCCAGAGGAAGGCUCGUCCGCUCUGGGUUAGUCGGGUCCUAAGCUGAGGCCGACAGGCGUAGGCGAUGGAUAACAGGUUGAUAUUCCUGUACCACCUAUAAUCGUUUUAAUCGAUGGGGGGACGCAGUAGGAUAGGCGAAGCGUGCGAUUGGAUUGCACGUCUAAGCAGUAAGGCUGAGUAUUAGGCAAA